Molecule: ribosomal RNA, 328 nt
Filed under: uncultured eukaryote
Lineage: Eukaryota
Description: partial 18S ribosomal RNA
Rfam family: Eukaryotic small subunit ribosomal RNA
Source: RNAcentral
CCCUUAGAUGUUCUGGGCCGCACGCGCGCUACACUGGCUACUUCAACGAGUUGUUUCCUUGAUCGAAAGGUCUGGGUAAUCUUUGAAAGGUAGUCGUGAUGGGGAUAGAUCCUUGCAAUUUUUGAUCUUCAACGAGGAAUUCCUAGUAAACGCAAGUCAUCAGCUUGCAUUGAUUACGUCCCUGCCCUUUGUACACACCGCCCGUCGCACCUACCGAUUGAAUGGUCCGGUGAAUCUUUAGGACUGUGGCUGAGGCCUUGCCUUGUGCGGGUCUGGCCGUGGGAAUUUAGUUAAACCUUACCAUUUAGAGGAAGGUGAAGUCGUAACA